This 253-nucleotide ribosomal RNA is filed under the name uncultured bacterium. RNAcentral's name for it is "partial 16S ribosomal RNA". It matches the Rfam family "Bacterial small subunit ribosomal RNA", at positions 524 to 776 of the family's 1533-position model. The record is from RNAcentral.
UACGGAGGAUCCAAGCGUUAUCCGGAAUCAUUGGGUUUAAAGGGUCCGUAGGCGGUUUAGUAAGUCAGUGGUGAAAGCCCAUCGCUCAACGGUGGAACGGCCAUUGAUACUGCUAGACUUGAAUUAUUAGGAAGUAACUAGAAUAUGUAGUGUAGCGGUGAAAUGCUUAGAUAUUACAUGGAAUACCAAUUGCGAAGGCAGGUUACUACUAGUGGAUUGACGCUGAUGGACGAAAGCGUGGGGAGCGAACAGG